UACGAAGGGGGCGAGCGUUGUUCGGAAUUACUGGGCGUAAAGGGCGCGCAGGCGGCCGCUCAAGUCAGGCGUGAAAGCCCCGGGCUCAACCUGGGAAUGGCGCAUGGGACUGGGUGGCUAGAGUUCGGGAGAGGAGCGUGGAAUUCCCAGUGUAGAGGUGAAAUUCGUAGAUAUUGGGAAGAACACCGGUGGCGAAGGCGGCGCUCUGGACCGAGACUGACGCUGAGGCGCGAAAGCGUGGGGAGCAAACAGG
Molecule: ribosomal RNA, 253 nt
Filed under: uncultured bacterium
Lineage: Bacteria
Description: partial 16S ribosomal RNA
Rfam family: Bacterial small subunit ribosomal RNA
Source: RNAcentral